This 744-nucleotide ribosomal RNA is filed under the name uncultured bacterium. RNAcentral's name for it is "bacterial SSU rRNA". It matches the Rfam family "Bacterial small subunit ribosomal RNA", at positions 8 to 796 of the family's 1533-position model. The record is from RNAcentral.
AGAGUUUGAUCCUGGCUCAGAACGAACGCUGGCGGCAGGCCUCAAACAUGCAAGUCUAGGGGGCGUAGCAAUACGUCACCGGCGGACGGGUGCGUAACACGUGGGAAUGUACCUAUUGGUUCGGAACAACUCAGGGAAACUUGAGCUAAUACCGAAUGUGCCCGAAAGGGGAAAGAUUUAUCGCCGAAAGAUCGGCCCGCGUCUGAUUAGCUAGUUGGUGAGGUAACGGCUCACCAAGGCGACGAUCAGUAGCUGGUCUGAGAGGAUGAUCAGCCACAUUGGGACUGAGACACGGCCCAAACUCCUACGGGAGGCAGCAGUGGGGAAUAUUGGACAAUGGGCGCAAGCCUGAUCCAGCCAUGCCGCGUGAGUGAUGAAGGCCCUAGGGUUGUAAAGCUCUUUUGUGCGGGAAGAUAAUGACGGUACCGCAAGAAUAAGCCCCGGCUAACUUCGUGCCAGCAGCCGCGGUAAUACGAAGGGGGCUAGCGUUGCUCGGAAUCACUGGGCGUAAAGGGUGCGUAGGCGGGUCUUUAAGUCAGGGGUGAAAUCCUGGAGCUCAACUCCAGAACUGCCUUUGAUACUGAGGAUCUUGAGUUCGGGAGAGGUGAGUGGAACUGCGAGUGUAGAGGUGAAAUUCGUAGAUAUUCGCAAGAACACCAGUGGCGAAGGCGGCUCACUGGCCCGAUACUGACGCUGAGGCACGAAAGCGUGGGGAGCAAACAGGAUUAGAUACCCUAGUAGUCC